RNAcentral lists this ribosomal RNA (498 nucleotides) under uncultured bacterium. Its description in RNAcentral is "partial 16S ribosomal RNA". It matches the Rfam family "Bacterial small subunit ribosomal RNA", at positions 30 to 520 of the family's 1533-position model. The record is from RNAcentral.
AUUGAACGCUGGCGGCAUGCCUUACACAUGCAAGUCGAACGGUAACAGGUCUUCGGAUGCUGACGAGUGGCGAACGGGUGAGUAAUACAUCGGAACGUGCCUAGUAGUGGGGGAUAACUACUCGAAAGAGUGGCUAAUACCGCAUGAGAUCUACGGAUGAAAGCAGGGGAUCGCAAGACCUUGUGCUACUAGAGCGGCCGAUGGCAGAUUAGGUAGUUGGUGGGAUAAAAGCUUACCAAGCCGACGAUCUGUAGCUGGUCUGAGAGGACGAUCAGCCACACUGGGACUGAGACACGGCCCAGACUCCUACGGGAGGCAGCAGUGGGGAAUUUUGGACAAUGGGCGCAAGCCUGAUCCAGCAAUGCCGCGUGCAGGAUGAAGGCCUUCGGGUUGUAAACUGCUUUUGUACGGAACGAAAAGCCCUGGGUUAAUACCCUGGGGUCAUGACGGUACCGUAAGAAUAAGCACCGGCUAACUACGUGCCAGCCGCAGCCGCGG